CCUACGGGGGGCAGCAGUGGGGAAUAUUGCACAAUGGGGGAAACCCUGAUGCAGCGACGCCGCGUGAGUGAAGAAGUAAUUCGUUACGUAAAGCUCUAUCAGCAGGGAAGAAAUACUGACCUUACGGUCAGCAGAUGGUAUCUGACUAAGAAGCCCCGGCCAACUACGUCCCAGCAGCCGGCGUAAUACGUAGGGGGCAAGCGGUAUCCGGAUUUACUGGGUGUAAAGGGAGCGUAGACGGUCCGCCAAGUCUGGCGUGAAAUGCCGCAGCCUAACUGCGGAACGGCUUUGGAAACUGGCGGACUAGAGUGCAGGAGGGGUGAGCGGAAUUCAUGGUGUAGCGGUGAAAUGCGUAGAUAUUAGGAGGAACACCGGUGGCGAAGGCAGGUGACUGGAGCGUAACUGACGUUGAGGCUCGAAAGCGUGGGGAGCAAACAGGAUUAGAUACCCGGGUAGUC
Molecule: ribosomal RNA, 458 nt
Filed under: uncultured bacterium
Lineage: Bacteria
Description: partial 16S ribosomal RNA
Rfam family: Bacterial small subunit ribosomal RNA
Source: RNAcentral